AGUCGAACGGUAACAGGUCUUCGGACGCUGACGAGUGGCGAACGGGUGAGUAAUACAUCGGAACGUGCCCAGUCGUGGGGGAUAACUACUCGAAAGAGUAGCUAAUACCGCAUACGAUCUGAGGAUGAAAGCGGGGGACCUUCGGGCCUCGCGCGAUUGGAGCGGCCGAUGGCAGAUUAGGUAGUUGGUGGGAUAAAAGCUUACCAAGCCGACGAUCUGUAGCUGGUCUGAGAGGACGACCAGCCACACUGGGACUGAGACACGGCCCAGACUCCUACGGGAGGCAGCAGUGGGGAAUUUUGGACAAUGGGCGAAAGCCUGAUCCAGCAAUGCCGCGUGCAGGAUGAAGGCCUUCGGGUUGUAAACUGCUUUUGUACGGAACGAAAAAGCUCCUUCUAAUACAGGGGGCCCAUGACGGUACCGUAAGAAUAAGCACCGGCUAACUACGUGCCAGCAGCCGCGGUAAUACGUAGGGUGCGAGCGUUAAUCGGAAUUACUGGGCGUAAAGCGUGCGCAGGCGGUUAUGUAAGACAGAUGUGAAAUCCCCGGGCUCAACCUGGGAACUGCAUUUGUGACUGCAUGGCUAGAGUACGGUAGAGGGGGAUGGAAUUCCGCGUGUAGCAGUGAAAUGCGUAGAUAUGCGGAGGAACACCGAUGGCGAAGGCAAUCCCCUGGACCUGUACUGACGCUCAUGCACGAAAGCGUGGGGAGCAAACAGG
RNAcentral lists this ribosomal RNA (719 nucleotides) under uncultured Burkholderiales bacterium. RNAcentral describes it as "bacterial SSU rRNA". It matches the Rfam family "Bacterial small subunit ribosomal RNA", at positions 60 to 776 of the family's 1533-position model. The record is from RNAcentral. Lineage: Bacteria; Pseudomonadati; Pseudomonadota; Betaproteobacteria; Burkholderiales.